This 907-nucleotide ribosomal RNA is filed under the name Salmonella enterica subsp. enterica serovar Derby. Its description in RNAcentral is "partial 23S ribosomal RNA". It matches the Rfam family "Bacterial large subunit ribosomal RNA", at positions 2036 to 2925 of the family's 2925-position model. Lineage: Bacteria; Pseudomonadati; Pseudomonadota; Gammaproteobacteria; Enterobacterales; Enterobacteriaceae. The record is from RNAcentral.
GUGAAAUUGAACUCGCUGUGAAGAUGCAGUGUACCCGCGGCAAGACGGAAAGACCCCGUGAACCUUUACUAUAGCUUGACACUGAACAUUGAGCCUUGAUGUGUAGGAUAGGUGGGAGGCUUUGAAGCGUGGACGCCAGUCUGCGUGGAGCCGGCCUUGAAAUACCACCCUUUAAUGUUUGAUGUUCUAACGUGGACCCGUGAUCCGGGUUGCGGACAGUGUCUGGUGGGUAGUUUGACUGGGGCGGUCUCCUCCUAAAGAGUAACGGAGGAGCACGAAGGUUGGCUAAUCCUGGUCGGACAUCAGGAGGUUAGUGCAAUGGCAUAAGCCAGCUUGACUGCGAGCGUGACGGCGCGAGCAGGUGCGAAAGCAGGUCAUAGUGAUCCGGUGGUUCUGAAUGGAAGGGCCAUCGCUCAACGGAUAAAAGGUACUCCGGGGAUAACAGGCUGAUACCGCCCAAGAGUUCAUAUCGACGGCGGUGUUUGGCACCUCGAUGUCGGCUCAUCACAUCCUGGGGCUGAAGUAGGUCCCAAGGGUAUGGCUGUUCGCCAUUUAAAGUGGUACGCGAGCUGGGUUUAGAACGUCGUGAGACAGUUCGGUCCCUAUCUGCCGUGGGCGCUGGAGAACUGAGGGGGGCUGCUCCUAGUACGAGAGGACCGGAGUGGACGCAUCACUGGUGUUCGGGUUGUCAUGCCAAUGGCACUGCCCGGUAGCUAAAUGCGGAAGAGAUAAGUGCUGAAAGCAUCUAAGCACGAAACUUGCCCCGAGAUGAGUUCUCCCUGAGACUUAAAGUCUCCUGAAGGAACGUUGAAGACGACGACGUUGAUAGGCCGGGUGUGUAAGCGCAGCGAUGCGUUGAGCUAACCGGUACUAAUGAACCGUGAGGCUUAACCUUACAACGCCGAAG